RNAcentral lists this ribosomal RNA (482 nucleotides) under uncultured bacterium. RNAcentral describes it as "partial 16S ribosomal RNA". It matches the Rfam family "Bacterial small subunit ribosomal RNA", at positions 28 to 507 of the family's 1533-position model. The record is from RNAcentral.
GAUGAACGCUAGCGGCAGGCCUAAUACAUGCAAGUCGGACGGGAUUCAGGAGCUUGCUUCUGAUGAGAGUGGCGCACGGGUGCGUAACACGUAUGUAACCUACCUUUAUCAGGGGGAUAGCCUCUCGAAAGAGAGAUUAAGCCCGCAUAAAAUCACAGCACAGCAUUGUGUAAUGAUCAAAUAUUUAUAGGAUAAAGAUGGGCAUGCGGAACAUUAGCUAGAUGGCGGGGUAACGGCCCACCAUGGCGACGAUGGUUAGGGGAUCUGAGAGGAUGGCCCCCCACACUGGUACUGAGACACGGACCAGACUGCUACGGGAGGCAGCAGUAAGGAAUAUUGGUCAAUGGGCGGAAGCCUGAACCAGCCAUGCCGCGUGCAGGAAGACGGCCCUACGGGUUGUAAACUGCUUUUAUACGGGAAUAAACCCAGAUACGUGUAUCUGGCUGAAUGUACUGUAAGAAUAAGGAUCGGCUAACUCCGUG